This 386-nucleotide unclassified non-coding RNA is filed under the name uncultured Phycisphaerae bacterium. RNAcentral describes it as "contains 16S-23S intergenic spacer region". The record is from RNAcentral. Lineage: Bacteria; Pseudomonadati; Planctomycetota; Phycisphaerae.
UCCGGCUUAACGCCGGCAGUCUCGCCAGAGUCCCCAGCAUGACCUGAUGGCAACUGACGACAGGGGUUUCGCUCGUUAUAGGACUUAACCCGACACUUCACAGCACGAGCUGACGACAGCCAUGCAACACCUGUGCUAGUUUCACCCUUGCGGGUAGACUCCACGCAUUACCGUAAGUCAUCCUAGCAUGUCAAACCCGGGUAAGGUUCUUCGCGUUGCUUCGAAUUAAGCCACAUGCUCCACCGCUUGUGUGAGCCCCCGUCAAUUCCUUUGAGUUUUAGCCUUGCGGCCGUACUCCCCAGGCGGCACACUUAACACUUUUGCUUCGAUCCGGAGGAUAUCAGAACCUCCCGAAUCUAGUGUGCAUCGUUUAGGGCGUGGACUAC